ACAGCAGUCGCCGCGGUAAUACGGAGGGAGCUAGCGUUGUUCGGAAUUACUGGGCGUAAAGCGCGCGUAGGCGGUUACUCAAGUCAGAGGUGAAAGCCCGGGGCUCAACCCCGGAACUGCCUUUGAAACUAGGUAACUAGAAUCUUGGAGAGGUCAGUGGAAUUCCGAGUGUAGAGGUGAAAUUCGUAGAUAUUCGGAAGAACACCAGUGGCGAAGGCGGCUCACUGGACGACUGUUGACGCUGAGGUGCGAAAGCGUGGGGAGCAAACAGGAUUAGAUACCCCAGUAGUCCCUGUCUCUUAUAC
This 305-nucleotide ribosomal RNA is filed under the name uncultured bacterium. Its description in RNAcentral is "partial 16S ribosomal RNA". It matches the Rfam family "Bacterial small subunit ribosomal RNA", at positions 508 to 807 of the family's 1533-position model. The record is from RNAcentral.